UUUUAGCCCUGAUGGAAGUGGCAUCCUUUUUAUUUUUUUCUUUAAAAAAUAAAAAGAUAAAACGGACAGCAGGAUUAAGC
RNAcentral lists this small RNA (80 nucleotides) under Flavobacterium glaciei. RNAcentral describes it as "Flavo-1 RNA". It matches the Rfam family "Flavo-1 RNA". Lineage: Bacteria; Pseudomonadati; Bacteroidota; Flavobacteriia; Flavobacteriales; Flavobacteriaceae. The record is from RNAcentral.